GACGAACGCUGGCGGCGUGCUUAACACAUGCAAGUCGAACGGAAAGGCCCUGCUUUUGUGGGGUGCUCGAGUGGCGAACGGGUGAGUAACACGUGAGUAACCUGCCCUUGACUUUGGGAUAACUUCAGGAAACUGGGGCUAAUACCGGAUAGGAGCUCCUGCUGCAUGGUGGGGGUUGGAGAGUUUCGGCGGUUGGGGAUGGACUCGCGGCUUAUCAGCUUGUUGGUGGGGUAGUGGCUUACCAAGGCUUUGACGGGUAGCCGGCCUGAGAGGGUGACCGGCCACAUUGGGACUGAGAUACGGCCCAGACUCCUACGGGAGGCAGCAGUGGGGAAUAUUGCACAAUGGGCGGAAGCCUGAUGCAGCAACGCCGCGUGCGGGAUGACGGCCUUCGGGUUGUAAACCGCUUUCGCCUGUGACGAAGCGUGAGUGACGGUAAUGGGUAAAGAAGCACCGGCUAACUACGUGCCAGCAGCCGCGGUGAUACGUAGGGUGCGAGCGUUGUCCGGAUUUAUUGGGCGUAAAGGGCUCGUAGGUGGUUGAUCGCGUCGGAAGUGUAAUCUUGGGGCUUAACCCUGAGCGUGCUUUCGAUACGGGUUGACUUGAGGAAGGUAGGGGAGAAUGGAAUUCCUGGUGGAGCGGUGGAAUGCGCAGAUAUCAGGAGGAACACCAGUGGCGAAGGCGGUUCUCUGGGCCUUUCCUGACGCUGAGGAGCGAAAGCGUGGGGAGCGAACAGGCUUAGAUACCCUGGUAGUCCACGCUGUAAACGGUGGGUACUAGGUGUGGGGUCCAUUCCACGGGUUCCGUGCCGUAGCUAACGCUUUAAGUACCCCGCCUGGGGAGUACGGCCGCAAGGCUAAAACUCAAAGGAAUUGACGGGGCCCCGCACAAGCGGCGGAGCAUGCGGAUUAAUUCGAUGCAACGCGUAGAACCUUACCUGGGUUUGACAUGGAUCGGGAGUGCUCAGAGAUGGGUGUGCCUCUUUUGGGGUCGGUUCACAGGUGGUGCAUGGCUGUCGUCAGCUUGUGUCGUGAGAUGUUGGGUUAAGUCCCGCAACGAGCGCAACCCUUGUUCACUGUUGCCAGCACGUUAUGGUGGGGACUCAGUGGAGACCGCCGGGGUCAACUCGGAGGAAGGUGGGGAUGACGUCAAGUCAUCAUGCCCCUUAUGUCCAGGGCUUCACGCAUGCUACAAUGGCUGGUACAGAGAGUGGCGAGCCUGUGAGGGUGAGCGAAUCUCGGAAAGCCGGUCUCAGUUCGGAUUGGGGUCUGCAACUCGACCUCAUGAAGUCGGAGUCGCUAGUAAUCGCAGAUCAGCAACGCUGCGGUGAAUACGUUCCCGGGGCU
Molecule: ribosomal RNA, 1346 nt
Filed under: uncultured bacterium
Lineage: Bacteria
Description: partial 16S ribosomal RNA
Rfam family: Bacterial small subunit ribosomal RNA
Source: RNAcentral